This 185-nucleotide unclassified non-coding RNA is filed under the name uncultured fungus. RNAcentral describes it as "sequence contains ITS1". The record is from RNAcentral. Lineage: Eukaryota; Fungi.
UUAAUUUAUUUGCUUGUUUACUCAGAAGAUACUAAAGAAAUACAAGAGUUUGGGGUCUCCGGCGGGCGCCUGAUCCGGGCCCGAGGGCGCCGGGGCGGAUCCGCCGAAGCAACGAUAGGUAUGUUCACAGGGGUUUGGGAGUUGUAAACUCGGUAAUGAUCCCUCCGCUGGUUCACCAACGGAGA